Molecule: ribosomal RNA, 1430 nt
Filed under: uncultured organism
Description: 16S ribosomal RNA
Rfam family: Bacterial small subunit ribosomal RNA
Source: RNAcentral
GCUUAACACAUGCAAGUCGAGGGGCAGCAUGGUCUUAUCUUGCUAAGACUGAUGGCGACCGGCGCACGGGUGAGUAACACGUAUCCAACCUGCCGUCUACUCUUGGACAGCCUUCUGAAAGGAAGAUUAAUACAAGAUGGCAUCAUGAGUCCGCAUGUUCACAUGAUUAAAGGUAUUCCGGUAGACGAUGGGGAUGCGUUCCAUUAGAUAGUAGGCGGGGUAACGGCCCACCUAGUCUUCGAUGGAUAGGGGUUCUGAGAGGAAGGUCCCCCACAUUGGAACUGAGACACGGUCCAAACUCCUACGGGAGGCAGCAGUGAGGAAUAUUGGUCAAUGGGCGAGAGCCUGAACCAGCCAAGUAGCGUGAAGGAUGACUGCCCUAUGGGUUGUAAACUUCUUUUAUAAAGGAAUAAAGUCGGGUAUGGAUACCCGUUUGCAUGUACUUUAUGAAUAAGGAUCGGCUAACUCCGUGCCAGCAGCCGCGGUAAUACGGAGGAUCCGAGCGUUAUCCGGAUUUAUUGGGUUUAAAGGGAGCGUAGAUGGAUGUCUAAGUCAGUUGUGAAAGUUUGCGGCUCAACCGUAAAAUUGCAGUUGAUACUGGAUAUCUUGAGUGCAGUUGAGGCAGGCGGAAUUCGUGGUGUAGCGGUGAAAUGCUUAGAUAUCACGAAGAACUCCGAUUGCGAAGGCAGCCUGCUAAGCUGCAACUGACAUUGAGGCUCGAAAGUGUGGGUAUCAAACAGGAUUAGAUACCCUGGUAGUCCACACGGUAAACGAUGAAUACUCGCUGUUUGCGAUAUACUGCAAGCGGCCAAGCGAAAGCGUUAAGUAUUCCACCUGGGGAGUACGCCGGCAACGGUGAAACUCAAAGGAAUUGACGGGGGCCCGCACAAGCGGAGGAACAUGUGGUUUAAUUCGAUGAUACGCGAGGAACCUUACCCGGGCUUAAAUUGCAGAUGAAUUACGGUGAAAGCCGUAAGCCGCAAGGCAUCUGUGAAGGUGCUGCAUGGUUGUCGUCAGCUCGUGCCGUGAGGUGUCGGCUUAAGUGCCAUAACGAGCGCAACCCUUGUUGUCAGUUACUAACAGGUUCCGCUGAGGACUCUGACAAGACUGCCAUCGUAAGAUGUGAGGAAGGUGGGGAUGACGUCAAAUCAGCACGGCCCUUACGUCCGGGGCUACACACGUGUUACAAUGGGGGGUACAGAGGGCCGCUACCACGCGAGUGGAUGCCAAUCCCCAAAACCUCUCUCAGUUCGGACUGGAGUCUGCAACCCGACUCCACGAAGCUGGAUUCGCUAGUAAUCGCGCAUCAGCCACGGCGCGGUGAAUACGUUCCCGGGCCUUGUACACACCGCCCGUCAAGCCAUGGGAGCCGGGGGUACCUGAAGUGCGUAACCGCGAGGAGCGCCCUAGGGUAAAACUGGUGACUGGGG